This is a long non-coding RNA of Betta splendens (Siamese fighting fish), 3279 nucleotides long. RefSeq lists it as uncharacterized. The record is from RefSeq and is a predicted model, not a curated record. The transcript has 2 exons. NCBI's taxonomy places the organism in Eukaryota, Metazoa, Chordata, Actinopteri, Anabantiformes, Osphronemidae.
GGAUGUGGCGUCAUCUCCUUUGUUGUGAGCAGCACAGCUGAGACUGAGCGCCGCAGCUCCCACGUGACAGGAGGUGAUGUGAGAGCAGAGGACGGUCGUCAGCCCCUGAAUACAGGCUCUGACGCGGUGGCACCCGGCGAUGCGGGGCCGACGCCCUUAGUUGUGACGGAUGGUGGAGAAGAUGAUGAGGCUGCGUUGGACUCAUCCAAGUCACGCCUGUCAGAGGACCUGGGUCAGCGCGGACGGUGCCUCAUGUCGGUGGAGAUUCCUCCAUCAGCUUCAGUGGUCCUGUAGCCGCCUCCAGCUACCUCCAACACAGACGUUUCCCCAGCACCUCCCGGCCGUUCUCCCAGGCUGUCCCCACGCAGCGCCCCUACGGCUGCCCCAGCUGCGCCAAGCGCUUCUUCCUGGAGUCGGACCUGCAGAAGCACGUGGGCCGGCACACCAGGGAGAAACCCUACACCUGCCCGCUCUGCAGGAAGAGCUUUGUGUGCCAGAGCCAGCUGGACAUCCACCACAACGUCCACACCGGAGAGCGGCCCUUCAGCUGCCCUGUCUGCAGCAGACGCUUCUCCCACCCCAGCAACCUGAAGCGGCACCAGAAGAUCCAGCACUGAGCAGCAGAAGCAGCUACCGGCCACCAAAGUCCCCCUUUUAGACUGAUUUACUGCUGUUUUAUCACAGCUUUGCUUCCAAAGAGUCAAAUGUAAAUGAAAGCAUUUACAAAUAGUUUAUAUUUUAUGGAUUUUAAGACGCCACAUGCGAAAGAAACAUAACUUUUCAAAACAAUUUCCUUCUGUUUUGGAAACAAGCAUUUAACAACUCCACACAAUAUGUAAGAAAACCAAGGGAUCGACUUGAAGUGUGUAUUGUGAGCAGCGCCUGUAGCUGGACGCCUCAUUCAGACACACAGGCUCAUCGGCAAAAGGCUGGAUCCAGUGACAUGCAGCACUGGGCCAAAUGUGACCAUAUGGAAACAACACGUGCUACCUCACCACCCACACGCCAAGGAGUCAGGCACUGACACUGUGAUUUAGAUUUUCCUUUUUCCUUGGUACUACUACUACUACUACCAAUACUACUACUACUACUACUACUACUACUACUACUUUCGACUUUCCCCAUCAUGGAUUGCAACAGCAAAUCAUCCUUUUCCACCUCACUCUAUCCUGGGCAUCUUCCACACUCACACCAGCCACCAUGUCCUCUGUCAGCACAUCCAAAUAUCUCCUCCUAUCUCUCUUCUUGUUCCAAUCUCUAACAACCUUUACCCAUAUAUUCACCAUCCCUCCUCUGCACAUGUCCAAACCAUCUCAUUCUGGCCUCUCUGACUUUGUUGCUAACACAGGCAACGUGAGCCGUCCCUCUGAUGAGCUUGUUCCUGAUUCUGUCCAACCUCUUCAGUCAUAAGGAGAACCUCAGCAUCUUCAUCUCUGCUGCCUCCAUCUCUGCCUCCUGUCUCUUCUUCACUGCUACCGUCUCUAACCCACAGAGCAGAGCUGUCUCACCACUGUCUUUACACUUUUCCUUUGAGUCUUGCUGACACACAACACUCUGCUGACACUUUCCUCCACCUGCUCCGCUCCACUUGCACCUUCUUCACCUCAGCCUCUGUAGCCUCACUGUUCUACCUUGACCCCUCGCAUUUAGACACAUGUAUCCUGUCUUACUACCACUGACUUUCAUGCCUCUUCUUUCCAGAGCAAACCUCCACCUCUCCAGCUGUUCCUCCACCUGCUCUCUACUCUCACUGCAGAUCAAACAUCAUUGUCCAGGGAGAUUCCAGUCUGACCUCGUCUGUAGCCUGUCCAUCAGCACGGCAAACAAAAAGGACUCAAAGCUGAUCCUUGGUGUUGUCCUCAUCUACUUUGAACUCUUCUGUCUGACCUACAGCGCAUCUCACCACCGUCAUACUCCUCUCAUACAUGUUCUGGACUACUCUGACGUACUUCUCUGCCACUCCCGACAACCUCAAACAGUACCACAGCUCGUCCCUCAUCACCGUGUCAUACGCCUUAUCUAAAUCCACAAAGACAAUGCAGCUCCUUCUCAAUCAACAUUCUCAGAUGGCAUCAGAAGUGCUCUUAUGGGCAUGAAACCAUACUGCUGCUCACAAAUCUCCACCUUCUUCCUGAGUCUGGCUACUCUUUCCCACAGCUUCAUUGUGUGGCUCAUCAACUUUAUUCCUCUGUUGUUGCUGCAGUUCUGCGUGUCCCCAGAGAGCUUCAGAGCCUUUCUCACCUCAUUCUGUACAAGUCCUUCUGUCCUUCCUUCGUGUCUAACCUGUCAUACAGCUCAUCGUAAGCUUUCUGUUCGGCCUUUGCCACCUUCCUCUCAAAUUCUUGUACUCCUGUCUACUUUCCUCAGUCCACUUCCUUUUAGACAACCUCUUGCAGUCACUAACCUCCCUCAAAUGACCUCGUCUACAUAGGAUGUAGUCCACCUGCAUGCUCCUACCUUCUCUGUGUUCCUCUCUUCUGAAAGUGAGUGUUUACUCUACCGCCAUCUGUCCUUCUAGGGUCCUUUCCUUUACACCAAACCUGCCCAUCAUCACCUCUGUUACCCUCAACAACAUGCCCAUUGAAGUCUGCUUCAACCACUACCCUCUCUCCUCUGGGGAUACUCUCUCUAAAUCGUCAAACUCACUCCGGAAUGUCUCCUUCUCUUCUCACAGCCAACUUGUGGCACACACCCACUGACUACAUUCACCAUUGCCCAUUCAAUUUCUAGUCAGAGACUCCUUUCACCUCUAGAACAUUAUUCACCAACUCCCCCUUCAGGAUCACUCCUACUAGGAUUUCUCUUGCUAUCCACACCAUGGUAAAACAAUACUACGUGCUUUGCUGCCCUUUCACCUCGUCUCCUGCGCACAUAGUGCAUCGACCUUCCUUCUCUCCAUCGUGUCUACCAGCUCUCUGUCUUUCCCUGUUGUUGUUCAACGUUAAAAGGUGUGUCGAUCAAGUGUGUUCAGUCAAUGAGCAGCUGAAAACGUUAACUGACACAACUGGUGAAGGUGAUCAGCAGGGAGAGUUGGAAAACCAGCAGGGAUACUGGCCCUCGAGUACCAGGACGGCCCACCCCGGCUCUAAACUGUGGGGGAUUCGACUGAACAGCUGCCACCCACAGCUUCUCUAGUUUUCUAAUCAGGCGUUUUGUGGCCAAAGCUCAUACACAGGUGUGACCACAGCACAUUAUUACAUUUUCUAGGUUUUUAACAUGUUGAACUGUGUCCUUUUCCAAAGAACAGAAGUACAAAUAAUAAAUCAUAAUACUUUCAAA